This 253-nucleotide ribosomal RNA is filed under the name uncultured bacterium. Its description in RNAcentral is "partial 16S ribosomal RNA". It matches the Rfam family "Bacterial small subunit ribosomal RNA", at positions 524 to 776 of the family's 1533-position model. The record is from RNAcentral.
UACGGAGGGUGCAAGCGUUAUCCGGAUUCACUGGGUUUAAAGGGUGUGUAGGCGGGCUGUUAAGUCAGUGGUGAAAUCUCCGGGCUCAACCCGGAAACUGCCAUUGAUACUAUCAGUCUUGAAUAUUGUUGAGGUGGGCGGAAUAUGUCUAUGUACGGUGAAAUGCAUAGAGAUGACAUAGAACACCGAUUGCGAAGGCAGCUUACUACAGGGACAUUGACACUGAGGCACGAAAGCGUGGGGAUCAAACAGG